This 26-nucleotide non-coding RNA is filed under the name Homo sapiens (human). Lineage: Eukaryota; Metazoa; Chordata; Mammalia; Primates; Hominidae. The record is from RNAcentral.
UGCUGUAGCUCUGAAUUCAUGUGGUA